CAAUAGCGUAUAUUAAAGUUGUUGCAGUUAAAAAGCUCGUAGUUGGAUUUCUGGUAGGAGUGACCGUUCCGAACUUGAUUGUUCGUGUAUUGUGUUUUCUCCAGCCAUCCUUGUGGAGAACUUUUCUUGCAUUAAUUUGUAGGGAUUGGGACCCGCAUCGUUUACUGUGAAAAAAUUAGAGUGUUUAAAGCAGGCAAUCGCUUGAAUACAUUAGCAUGGAAUAAUAAGAUAGGACUUUGGUACUAUUUUGUUGGUUUGCAUACCAAAUUAAUGAUCAACAGGAACAGUUUGAGGAUAUUCGUAUGAACAUGUCAGAGGUGAAAUUCUUGGAUUUUGAUCAGACGAACUACUGCGAAAGCAUUUAGCAAGGAUGUUUUCAUUGA
RNAcentral lists this ribosomal RNA (383 nucleotides) under uncultured eukaryote. Its description in RNAcentral is "partial 18S ribosomal RNA". It matches the Rfam family "Eukaryotic small subunit ribosomal RNA", at positions 592 to 976 of the family's 1831-position model. The record is from RNAcentral.